UGGCACUGUGGAGUGACGUCAGUUUCAGGG
This 30-nucleotide non-coding RNA is filed under the name Mus musculus (house mouse). The record is from RNAcentral. Lineage: Eukaryota; Metazoa; Chordata; Mammalia; Rodentia; Muridae.